UACGUAGGGUGCGAGCGUUAAUCGGAAUUACUGGGCGUAAAGCGUGCGCAGGCGGUUUUGUAAGACAGGUGUGAAAUCCCCGGGCUUAACCUGGGAACUGCAUUUGUGACUGCAAGGCUAGGGUGUAGCAGAGGGGGGUAGAAUUCCACGUGUAGCAGUGAAAUGCGUAGAUAUCGGGAGGAACACCUGUGGCGAAAGCGGCGCACUGGACCACUACUGACGCUGAGGCGCGAAAGCUAGGGGAGCAAACAGG
RNAcentral lists this ribosomal RNA (253 nucleotides) under uncultured bacterium. RNAcentral's name for it is "partial 16S ribosomal RNA". It matches the Rfam family "Bacterial small subunit ribosomal RNA", at positions 524 to 776 of the family's 1533-position model. The record is from RNAcentral.